UCACCUGAUGAAAGUGUGGUACAUACAUUG
This 30-nucleotide non-coding RNA is filed under the name Rattus norvegicus (Norway rat). The record is from RNAcentral. Lineage: Eukaryota; Metazoa; Chordata; Mammalia; Rodentia; Muridae.